Podarcis raffonei (Aeolian wall lizard) is the source of this 676-nucleotide long non-coding RNA. RefSeq lists it as uncharacterized. Lineage: Eukaryota; Metazoa; Chordata; Lepidosauria; Squamata; Lacertidae. The record is from RefSeq and is a predicted model, not a curated record. The transcript is spliced from 2 exons.
AGACAAAUGUUCAAUUUUUCACACUUUGAGGGACAACUCCCGUCCCGUGACCAUAUAUGGCAUGAAAUGUUGCAAUACGCGUGUUGGAAAAAGUAUGGUUAAAGAUGCGCGCUUCAUCUGUGCCUCCAGGCUCUUGAUGUUGCGAAAUGUUGUAGCCUAGAAAACGGUUCUAAUCACUGCCUUGGAAUGUUCCUGUCAAUCACAAGCAACUCCUCAUCAAUGACAUAAGAAAAGUAUUGCUGGCUCAGGCCAAAGGUCCAUGUAGCCUGGCAUCCUGUUCUCACUGUGGCUAACUGGAUGCCUAUGGGAACUCCAUAAACAGUACUUGAGCGCAAUUCAGAACAUACAGUACUGUCUCAGGCAAUGGGGACAGAACAUAGCCAUCAUGACCAGCAGCCAUUAAUUUCUCUAUACCUUUCUUAAAGCCACCCAAGUUGAUGGGCUUCACUACAUCUUGCGUGAGAGAAUUCUAUGGCUUAUCUAUGUGCUAUAUGAAGAAGUACAUUGUUUUUUUCUGUCCUGAAUCAUCCAACAUUCAGCUUCACUGUCUAGGCCCCAAACCUAGUCUUACAAGUGAGGGACUUUAUCCAACCUUAUAUAAGCUAUAUUAAGUCCACUGCUUACUCCAAAUGUUGUAACCUUUCCUCAUAGUGGAGUUGCUUCAUCCUCUUUUUCA